UGGCUAUCUUAAUCCUAUUGACUAGGUG
RNAcentral lists this non-coding RNA (28 nucleotides) under Mus musculus (house mouse). The record is from RNAcentral. Lineage: Eukaryota; Metazoa; Chordata; Mammalia; Rodentia; Muridae.